This 2905-nucleotide ribosomal RNA is filed under the name Salmonella enterica subsp. enterica serovar Meleagridis. Its description in RNAcentral is "bacterial LSU rRNA". It matches the Rfam family "Bacterial large subunit ribosomal RNA". Lineage: Bacteria; Pseudomonadati; Pseudomonadota; Gammaproteobacteria; Enterobacterales; Enterobacteriaceae. The record is from RNAcentral.
UUAAGCGACUAAGCGUACACGGUGGAUGCCCUGGCAGUCAGAGGCGAUGAAGGACGUGCUAAUCUGCGAUAAGCGCCGGUAAGGUGAUAUGAACCGUUAUAACCGGCGAUUUCCGAAUGGGGAAACCCAGUGUGACUCGUCACACUAUCAUUAACUGAAUCCAUAGGUUAAUGAGGCGAACCGGGGGAACUGAAACAUCUAAGUACCCCGAGGAAAAGAAAUCAACCGAGAUUCCCCCAGUAGCGGCGAGCGAACGGGGAGGAGCCCAGAGCCUGAAUCAGCAUGUGUGUUAGUGGAAGCGUCUGGAAAGGCGCGCGAUACAGGGUGACAGCCCCGUACACAAAAGCGCAUGUGCUGUGAGCUCGAUGAGUAGGGCGGGACACGUGGUAUCCUGUCUGAAUAUGGGGGGACCAUCCUCCAAGGCUAAAUACUCCUGACUGACCGAUAGUGAACCAGUACCGUGAGGGAAAGGCGAAAAGAACCCCGGCGAGGGGAGUGAAAAAGAACCUGAAACCGUGUACGUACAAGCAGUGGGAGCACAGGUUUACCUGUGUGACUGCGUACCUUUUGUAUAAUGGGUCAGCGACUUAUAUUCUGUAGCAAGGUUAACCGAAUAGGGGAGCCGUAGGGAAACCGAGUCUUAACCGGGCGUUAAGUUGCAGGGUAUAGACCCGAAACCCGGUGAUCUAGCCAUGGGCAGGUUGAAGGUUGGGUAACACUAACUGGAGGACCGAACCGACUAAUGUUGAAAAAUUAGCGGAUGACCUGUGGCUGGGGGUGAAAGGCCAAUCAAACCGGGAGAUAGCUGGUUCUCCCCGAAAGCUAUUUAGGUAGCGCCUCGUGAAUUCAUCUCCGGGGGUAGAGCACUGUUUCGGCUAGGGGGCCAUCCCGGCUUACCAACCCGAUGCAAACUGCGAAUACCGGAGAAUGUUAUCACGGGAGACACACGGCGGGUGCUAACGUCCGUCGUGAAGAGGGAAACAACCCAGACCGCCAGCUAAGGUCCCAAAGUCAUGGUUAAGUGGGAAACGAUGUGGGAAGGCCCAGACAGCCAGGAUGUUGGCUUAGAAGCAGCCAUCAUUUAAAGAAAGCGUAAUAGCUCACUGGUCGAGUCGGCCUGCGCGGAAGAUGUAACGGGGCUAAACCAUGCACCGAAGCUGCGGCAGCGACACUGUGUGUUGUUGGGUAGGGGAGCGUUCUGUAAGCCUGCGAAGGUGGCCUGUGAGGGUUGCUGGAGGUAUCAGAAGUGCGAAUGCUGACAUAAGUAACGAUAAAGCGGGUGAAAAGCCCGCUCGCCGGAAGACCAAGGGUUCCUGUCCAACGUUAAUCGGGGCAGGGUGAGUCGACCCCUAAGGCGAGGCCGAAAGGCGUAGUCGAUGGGAAACGGGUUAAUAUUCCCGUACUUGGUGUUACUGCGAAGGGGGGACGGAGAAGGCUAUGUUGGCCGGGCGACGGUUGUCCCGGUUUAAGCGUGUAGGUGUGUGUUCCAGGUAAAUCCGGUUCACUUUAACACUGAGGCGUGACGACGAGGCACUACGGUGCUGAAGCAACAAAUGCCCUGCUUCCAGGAAAAGCCUCUAAGCAUCAGGUAACAUCAAAUCGUACCCCAAACCGACACAGGUGGUCAGGUAGAGAAUACCAAGGCGCUUGAGAGAACUCGGGUGAAGGAACUAGGCAAAAUGGUGCCGUAACUUCGGGAGAAGGCACGCUGACACGUAGGUGAAGUGAUUUACUCAUGGAGCUGAAGUCAGUCGAAGAUACCAGCUGGCUGCAACUGUUUAUUAAAAACACAGCACUGUGCAAACACGAAAGUGGACGUAUACGGUGUGACGCCUGCCCGGUGCCGGAAGGUUAAUUGAUGGGGUCAGCGCAAGCGAAGCUCCUGAUCGAAGCCCCGGUAAACGGCGGCCGUAACUAUAACGGUCCUAAGGUAGCGAAAUUCCUUGUCGGGUAAGUUCCGACCUGCACGAAUGGCGUAAUGAUGGCCAGGCUGUCUCCACCCGAGACUCAGUGAAAUUGAACUCGCUGUGAAGAUGCAGUGUACCCGCGGCAAGACGGAAAGACCCCGUGAACCUUUACUAUAGCUUGACACUGAACAUUGAGCCUUGAUGUGUAGGAUAGGUGGGAGGCUUUGAAGUGUGGACGCCAGUCUGCAUGGAGCCGACCUUGAAAUACCACCCUUUAAUGUUUGAUGUUCUAACGUGGACCCGUAAUCCGGGUUGCGGACAGUGUCUGGUGGGUAGUUUGACUGGGGCGGUCUCCUCCUAAAGAGUAACGGAGGAGCACGAAGGUUGGCUAAUCCUGGUCGGACAUCAGGAGGUUAGUGCAAUGGCAUAAGCCAGCUUGACUGCGAGCGUGACGGCGCGAGCAGGUGCGAAAGCAGGUCAUAGUGAUCCGGUGGUUCUGAAUGGAAGGGCCAUCGCUCAACGGAUAAAAGGUACUCCGGGGAUAACAGGCUGAUACCGCCCAAGAGUUCAUAUCGACGGCGGUGUUUGGCACCUCGAUGUCGGCUCAUCACAUCCUGGGGCUGAAGUAGGUCCCAAGGGUAUGGCUGUUCGCCAUUUAAAGUGGUACGCGAGCUGGGUUUAGAACGUCGUGAGACAGUUCGGUCCCUAUCUGCCGUGGGCGCUGGAGAACUGAGGGGGGCUGCUCCUAGUACGAGAGGACCGGAGUGGACGCAUCACUGGUGUUCGGGUUGUCAUGCCAAUGGCACUGCCCGGUAGCUAAAUGCGGAAGAGAUAAGUGCUGAAAGCAUCUAAGCACGAAACUUGCCCCGAGAUGAGUUCUCCCUGAGACUUAGAGUCUCCUGAAGGAACGUUGAAGACGACGACGUUGAUAGGCCGGGUGUGUAAGCGCAGCGAUGCGUUGAGCUAACCGGUACUAAUGAACCGUGAGGCUUAACCUU